AGCGAUUCUCCUGCCUCAGCCUUCCCGGUAGCUGGGAUUACAGGAGCUAGCAUCAGAAUGUUCAGUCCAAGAACAAUGAUUUCUACUCCACUUGGGCACUGAUCUGGCUGUAACAUCUGCAGGGGACAAUCCCAGUUCUGAACGGAAAAAACAACUUUGCUCAUUAUCCACGUUCCAUAUAGCUACUGACGGGAUAAUAAGUGACCACAGCGGAAUACUACGCCUUCUCUGCUGAGAACACAUGGUUGUAAUUCCUUUGGCCUGAAGGAGAAUCACUGAAGCCAUUUUAAACAUUCUUCUGCUGUUUAUAGCCUUUGUCUAAGAUGCCAUGACUGGUAUCGGCCAUGAGUGGCAUAUCCAAUCCCUCUCUAACAUCUGCCGUUAUAGUUCCCAAAGAGGAUUGAGAAGUCUCAACAUAAUCUCACAGGAGAAAUCUUAUUGUUCCUCCAAAGAAUAUUUUGUAUUGAAAGCAAUGCCUCAUAUUUAUGACAUUCUAGAUGUUUAGAGAAAGGAUUUGACUCUGUUGGAUAACUUCAAUCAACGAGGAUAGUCUGGGUUAAAGCAAUCAUGUUUGCCAACUGAAUCUGGGUUGUUUUACAGCUCAUUCCUUAAUAUGGCCACAGCCCCUCCCACCCUCAGCUUCCCCCACCCCCCCACAUUGCCCCAUUCCCUUUGGGACAGGUGAUGUAGCCACAGUAUCAUGUGUAUUGGUAUGAACACAAUGUAAGACAUGCCCAAAGACCUUAUGUAUUUACUCAUCAUUCGGUGACAAUUUUUUUUUAUCACAGCCCUAACUCUGUGUUAAGUACUAUGCUGGCUUCUGGGGUACAAGCAUGAGUGGUAACAGACCCCAAUGCUGCCUGUAGUGCAUCCAGCAUAGACUGUCAGGCAGUGAGAUGCAGCAGGCCCCUUGCAAUAGCUGAGAUUUGGAGCUAGGGAUGCUGUGUCAAUGUGGAUCAGGCAAUGGUACUUUGAAAGGUCAUCAUUAUAAUUUUAUUAAGCUGUGAUGAGAGUGAGAAGAUAAAUAUAGAAAUGUG
This 1037-nucleotide long non-coding RNA is filed under the name Homo sapiens (human). Its description in RNAcentral is "HSALNT0360546". Lineage: Eukaryota; Metazoa; Chordata; Mammalia; Primates; Hominidae. The record is from RNAcentral.